RNAcentral lists this ribosomal RNA (431 nucleotides) under uncultured bacterium. RNAcentral's name for it is "bacterial SSU rRNA". It matches the Rfam family "Bacterial small subunit ribosomal RNA", at positions 29 to 506 of the family's 1533-position model. The record is from RNAcentral.
ACGAACGCUGGCGGCAUGCCUAACACAUGCAAGUCGAACGAACCCUUCGGGGUUAGUGGCGCACGGGUGCGUAACGCGUGGGAACCUGCCUUUUGGUUCGGAAUAACAGUGAGAAAUUACUGCUAAUACCGAAUGAUGUCUACGGACCAAAGAUUUAUCGCCAUUAGAUGGGCCCGCGUAGGAUUAGCUAGUUGGUGGGGUAAAGGCCUACCAAGGCGACGAUCCUUAGCUGGUCUUAGAGGAUGAUCAGCCACACUGGGACUGAGACACGGCCCAGACUCCUACGGGAGGCAGCAGUGGGGAAUAUUGGACAAUGGGCGAAAGCCUGAUCCAGCAAUGCCGCGUGAGUGAUGAAGGCCUUAGGGUUGUAAAGCUCUUUUACCCGGGAUGAUAACGACAGUACCGGGAGAAUAAGCCCCGGCUAACUCCGU